GGCAAGACGGAAAGACCCCGUGAACCUUUACUAUAGCUUGACACUGAACAUUGAGCCUUGAUGUGUAGGAUAGGUGGGAGGCUUUGAAGUGUGGACGCCAGUCUGCAUGGAGCCGGCCUUGAAAUACCACCCUUUAAUGUUUGAUGUUCUAACGUGGACCCGUGAUCCGGGUUGCGGACAGUGUCUGGUGGGUAGUUUGACUGGGGCGGUCUCCUCCUAAAGAGUAACGGAGGAGCACGAAGGUUGGCUAAUCCUGGUCGGACAUCAGGAGGUUAGUGCAAUGGCAUAAGCCAGCUUGACUGCGAGCGUGACGGCGCGAGCAGGUGCGAAAGCAGGUCAUAGUGAUCCGGUGGUUCUGAAUGGAAGGGCCAUCGCUCAACGGAUAAAAGGUACUCCGGGGAUAACAGGCUGAUACCGCCCAAGAGUUCAUAUCGACGGCGGUGUUUGGCACCUCGAUGUCGGCUCAUCACAUCCUGGGGCUGAAGUAGGUCCCAAGGGUAUGGCUGUUCGCCAUUUAAAGUGGUACGCGAGCUGGGUUUAGAACGUCGUGAGACAGUUCGGUCCCUAUCUGCCGUGGGCGCUGGAGAACUGAGGGGGGCUGCUCCUAGUACGAGAGGACCGGAGUGGACGCAUCACUGGUGUUCGGGUUGUCAUGCCAAUGGCACUGCCCGGUAGCUAAAUGCGGAAGAGAUAAGUGCUGAAAGCAUCUAAGCACGAAACUUGCCCCGA
Molecule: ribosomal RNA, 729 nt
Filed under: Salmonella enterica
Lineage: Bacteria; Pseudomonadati; Pseudomonadota; Gammaproteobacteria; Enterobacterales; Enterobacteriaceae
Description: partial 23S ribosomal RNA
Rfam family: Bacterial large subunit ribosomal RNA
Source: RNAcentral